GACGAACGCUGGCGGCGUGCCUAAUACAUGCCAGUAGAACGCUGAAGGAAGGAGCUUGCUCUUUCUGGAUGAGUUGCGAACGGGUGAGUAACGCGUAGGUAACCUGCCUGGUAGCGGGGGAUAACUAUUGGAAACGAUAGCUAAUACCGCAUAAAAUUGAUUAUUGCAUGAUAGUCAAUUAAAAGGUGCAACUGCACCACUACCAGAUGGACCUGCGUUGUAUUAGCUAGUUGGUGGGGUAACGGCUCACCAAGGCGACGAUACAUAGCCGACCUGUGAGGGUGAUCGGCCACACUGGGACUGAGACACGGCCCAGACUCCUACGGGAGGCAGCAGUAGGGAAUCUUCGGCAAUGGACGGAAGUCUGACCGAGCAACGCCGCGUGAGUGAAGAAGGUUUUCGGAUCGUAAAGCUCUGUUGUAAGAGAAGAACGAGUGUGAGAGUGGAAAGUUCACACUGUGACGGUAUCUUACCAGAAAGGGACGGCUAACUACGU
Molecule: ribosomal RNA, 496 nt
Filed under: uncultured bacterium
Lineage: Bacteria
Description: partial 16S ribosomal RNA
Rfam family: Bacterial small subunit ribosomal RNA
Source: RNAcentral